RNAcentral lists this ribosomal RNA (56 nucleotides) under Aspergillus niger. RNAcentral's name for it is "partial 28S ribosomal RNA". It matches the Rfam family "Eukaryotic large subunit ribosomal RNA", at positions 1 to 56 of the family's 3401-position model. The record is from RNAcentral. Lineage: Eukaryota; Fungi; Ascomycota; Eurotiomycetes; Eurotiales; Aspergillaceae. RNAcentral also lists the same sequence under 6 other names.
UGACCUCGGAUCAGGUAGGGAUACCCGCUGAACUUAAGCAUAUCAAUAAGCGGAGG